RNAcentral lists this unclassified non-coding RNA (300 nucleotides) under uncultured Phacidiaceae. Its description in RNAcentral is "sequence contains 5.8S rRNA gene, ITS2". The stretch from base 1 to 91 matches the Rfam family "5.8S ribosomal RNA", at positions 58 to 154 of the family's 154-position model. The record is from RNAcentral. Lineage: Eukaryota; Fungi; Ascomycota; Leotiomycetes; Phacidiales; Phacidiaceae.
CAGAUGUGUAUAAGGGACAGGUGAGUCAUCGAAUCUUUGAACGCACAUUGCGCCCUGUGGUAUUCCGCAGGGCAUGCCUGUUCGAGCGUCAGUACAACACUCAAGCCUAGCUUGGUCUUGGGCCUCGCCGGAAACGGCGGGCCUUAAAGGUAGUGGCGGCGCCCGCUGGGCUCUAAGCGUAGUAAUACUCCUCGCUAUAGGGACCCGGUGGAUGCUGGCCAGCAACCCCAAAUUUUUCUAGGUUGACCUCGGAUCAGGUAGGGAUACCCGCUGAACUUAAGCAUAUCAAUAAGCGGAGGA